This 490-nucleotide ribosomal RNA is filed under the name uncultured bacterium. RNAcentral describes it as "bacterial SSU rRNA". It matches the Rfam family "Bacterial small subunit ribosomal RNA", at positions 8 to 507 of the family's 1533-position model. The record is from RNAcentral.
AGAGUUUGAUCAUGGCUCAGGAUGAACGCUGGCGGCGUGCCUAAUACAUGCAAGUCGAACGAGGUGCUUUUGUAGCAAUACGAGAGUAUCCUAGUGGCGAACGGGUGAGUAACGCGUUGGUGACCUACCCCCAAAGUGUGGGAUAACAGUCCGAAAGGAUUGCUAAUACCGCAUGUGGUCUUCGGGUUUAGAAACUGAUGACUAAAGGAGCAAUUCGCUUUGGGAGGGACCUGCGUCCCAUCAGCUAGUUGGUGAGGUAAUGGCUCACCAAGGCUACGACGGGUAGGGGACCUGAGAGGGUGACCCCCCACAAUGGAACUGAAACACGGUCCAUACACCUACGGGUGGCAGCAGUAGGGAAUAUUGCACAAUGGGCGAAAGCCUGAUGCAGCAACGCCGCGUGUGCGAUGAAGGCCUUCGGGUCGUAAAGCACUUUUCUGGGAGAUGAGCAAGGACAGUAUCUCAGGAAUAAGUCUCGGCUAACUACGUG